RNAcentral lists this ribosomal RNA (426 nucleotides) under uncultured bacterium. RNAcentral's name for it is "bacterial SSU rRNA". It matches the Rfam family "Bacterial small subunit ribosomal RNA", at positions 30 to 455 of the family's 1533-position model. The record is from RNAcentral.
AUUGAACGCUGGCGGCAUGCCUUACAUAUGCAAGUCGAACGGCAGCACGGGAGCAAUCCUGGUGGCGAGUGGCGAACGGGUGAGUAAUAUAUCGGAACGUGUCCAGUCGUGGGGAUAACGUAGCGAAAGCUACGCUAAUACCGCAUACGAUCUACGGAUGAAAGCGGGGGAUCGCAAGACCUCGCGCGAUUGGAGCGGCCGAUAUCAGAUUAGGUAGUUGGUGAGGUAAAGGCUCACCAAGCCGACGAUCUGUAACUGGUCUGAGAGGAUGAUCAGUCACACUGGAACUGAGACACGGUCCAGACUCCUACGGGAGGCAGCAGUGGGGGAAUAUUGGACAAUGGGCGGAAGCCUGAUCCAGCCAUGCCGCGUGUGUGAAGAAGGUCUUCGGAUUGUAAAGACACUUUAAGUUGGGUAGGAAGGGUA